This 1248-nucleotide long non-coding RNA is filed under the name Canis lupus familiaris (dog). Its description in RNAcentral is "lncRNA (ENSCAFG00040005736.1)". The record is from RNAcentral. Lineage: Eukaryota; Metazoa; Chordata; Mammalia; Carnivora; Canidae.
CAGGUCCGGCUGCCCGCGUCCACGCCGGCCGAGGCUGACAGGCAGCCCGCCGCCUCCCCUCCCGGCGCAGGGGCUGACAGCCCGACAGACACAACACCACACGUGCUGCCUCCUCCGCACCACAACACCUCCAGCCUGUCACCCCCGCGGGCCGCCUCAGCCCCGCUCGGAUCUCCGCGCACCCGGCCGGCGCCAGAGAGCGAGCGCCCGGGAGCGCGGGCAGAAGGGGCCGCGCCCGGCCUGAGGCGGCGAGCCGCCAGGCGCAGGUGGGGCCGGGGCGGUGGGCGCGCCCCCGAGGGAGACCGGGCUCGCCGGCACUGCCCAGCCCGAGGCUCCGCGGCCUGGGCCGCUCGCCGCCCGCCCACCGCCGGCUCCCUGGGGCUGGGCCAGCCGCGCGAGCGGCGGGCGGCGGGCGGGCGGGCGAGCGGUGGGGGCGUUGGGCCCGAGAGCGCCGGGCCGGAGGGCGGCGCGCGGGCCCCGGGCGGGGGAGCCGGGCGCCGGCCGGGCGCGAGGGGGCGGCCUCGGCGCCCCAGCCCGAGGCCUGGCGCAGAGCAGCGGGAGGCGGCGCAGGCCGCGGCGGGGCCUGCAGCGGCCCGCCGGCCCCGCGAAGCGGCGGAGCGGGCCCCGGAGCGGCUCAGCCUCGGGCUCGACGGCCGGGGACGGCCGCCGGCGGGUCCUCGGCUACUUACCGGGGGGGAAGAGAGCCGGGAUCCCUGGGCCCCGGGCCGGACCGCGGAGAUGCCCCAAACUGACACGGCCGCCAUCUUGGAGACAGUGAGCUCCGGCCGGGGGGAGGGGAGGCGAGGCGGCGGAACAGCCGCGGGGGGAGGGGAAGCGUCGCGAGGGAACGGCUGCCUGGGGGAGGGAGCGGGAACAGCCUGGGAGGGAGGCGAGGGGGAGGGCGACGGGCUGGCACGAAGGGGGGGCGGGCGAGGAGCGGGAAGAGCGGCGCCGAGAGCCGGGAAAGGCCGGAGGGCGGGGCGGGACAGGAGGGAAGAGCCGGCCGGGCGGGUCACGUGGGGCCGGUACAAAAGGCCAAAGCCAAAGUGGGAGGAGGACCUGGUGGGCCUGGAGGCCGACAACUGGGGGUUCCUCCUCGCCUUUCUCACGCGGUUAGGUCAGGCGGAUAGCGGGAAAAGGGGACGGCGUAUCCCCAUUACACAGCUGGGGAAACUGAGGGCAGGCGCCUGGGCGGGGUGGCGUCAUUGUGGUACGGAAAUCCGGCGGCCCGGCGAGCUGCGCUCCUGA